RNAcentral lists this ribosomal RNA (1308 nucleotides) under Myroides odoratimimus. RNAcentral describes it as "bacterial SSU rRNA". It matches the Rfam family "Bacterial small subunit ribosomal RNA", at positions 83 to 1395 of the family's 1533-position model. Lineage: Bacteria; Pseudomonadati; Bacteroidota; Flavobacteriia; Flavobacteriales; Flavobacteriaceae. The record is from RNAcentral.
GCUUUUUUGAGACCGGCGCACGGGUGAGUAACGCGUAUGCAACCUACCUUAUACAGGGGAAUAGCCCGAAGAAAUUCGGAUUAAUGCUCCAUGGUUUAUCGAUAUGGCAUCGUAUUGAUAAUAAAGAUUUAUCGGUAUAAGAUGGGCAUGCGUAUCAUUAGCUAGUUGGUGUGGUAACGGCAUACCAAGGCAACGAUGAUUAGGGGUCCUGAGAGGGAGAUCCCCCACACUGGUACUGAGACACGGACCAGACUCCUACGGGAGGCAGCAGUGAGGAAUAUUGGUCAAUGGAGGCAACUCUGAACCAGCCAUGCCGCGUGCAGGAUGACGGUCCUAUGGAUUGUAAACUGCUUUUGUACAGGAAGAAACCUCCCUACGAGUAGGGACUUGACGGUACUGUAAGAAUAAGGAUCGGCUAACUCCGUGCCAGCAGCCGCGGUAAUACGGAGGAUCCGAGCGUUAUCCGGAAUUAUUGGGUUUAAAGGGUUCGUAGGCGGCCUUGUAAGUCAGUGGUGAAAUUUCCUAGCUUAACUAAGACACUGCCAUUGAUACUGUUUAACUUGAAUAAUAUGGAAGUAACUAGAAUAUGUAGUGUAGCGGUGAAAUGCUUAGAUAUUACAUGGAAUACCAAUUGCGAAGGCAGGUUACUACGUAUUUAUUGACGCUGAUGAACGAAAGCGUGGGGAGCGAACAGGAUUAGAUACCCUGGUAGUCCACGCCGUAAACGAUGGAUACUAGCUGUUCGGUUUUCGGUCUGAGUGGCUAAGCGAAAGUGAUAAGUAUCCCACCUGGGGAGUACGUUCGCAAGAAUGAAACUCAAAGGAAUUGACGGGGGCCCGCACAAGCGGUGGAGCAUGUGGUUUAAUUCGAUGAUACGCGAGGAACCUUACCAGGGCUUAAAUGUAGAUUGACAGAUUUGGAAACAGAUUUUUCUUCGGACAAUUUACAAGGUGCUGCAUGGUUGUCGUCAGCUCGUGCCGUGAGGUGUCAGGUUAAGUCCUAUAACGAGCGCAACCCCUAUUGUUAGUUACCAGCGCGUAGUGGCGGGGACUCUAGCAAGACUGCCGGUGCAAACCGUGAGGAAGGUGGGGAUGACGUCAAAUCAUCACGGCCCUUACGUCCUGGGCUACACACGUGCUACAAUGGCAAGUACAGAAAGCAGCUACCUGGCAACAGGAUGCGAAUCUCCAAAGCUUGUCUCAGUUCGGAUUGGAGUCUGCAACUCGACUCUAUGAAGCUGGAAUCGCUAGUAAUCGGAUAUCAGCCAUGAUCCGGUGAAUACGUUCCCGGGCCUUGUACACACCGCCC